AUGAUUACCCUGAGGGGUUUCUCUACUUAUCUCCUCCCUGGAUGGCUGUAUAAGCCAGAUGAUGGUUACCUGAACACUCUAGAAAAAGAAUUCACAGAGGGUUUCACAGGGCACAGCCUCGCAGUCUGGAGGGAGAAGAGGGCAAACCGGUCUUCACGGACGCCACCUACUGCCUGGCUGGGCAGAGAGCCAGUGGAUCAGAGAGGCCGGCUCUGUUCUUGGCAGGAAAUGAGGAGCUGGCAUGGAAAUGCCACCCAGGCUGGGAACAAGAUCUAUGGAGUGGCAGCCUGAGUGGGUGAGGUGAUCCAGAGUCCUAACUGUCUCCUCUCUCAUCCCUUCAACCAAACUUUCCUGAGCAACUCUGAUGCCAGGCAUUUCUAGCACUGUGACAGAACCUGAGGACAGAGGGCCCUGCUUCAAAGGUAACCACCUGCCUCCUUCUGCUAUCACAGGGCUGACCUCAGUGCAGCAGAGGGCAGAGCUUGGAGGCAGCUGCUGAGAAUUUGCGCUCUAGACAUCCACCUAAAUCACAAGCUUUAUAUCUGGGCAGUCAGCCAGACCUCCUGACCAUAUCCUGGACUGCGGACUUUGGAUGGUGGAACGGGGGUGGAAUUGAACAUUAAAUGAGCAACAUGCUAAUUCCAUGCAAAUGAAUAUCUAUUUUGAAUCAACAGCUUGGACACUUUUUCUAGGAGGGCUGAGGCAGCAGGAAUCUAAAGAGAGGAUGAGAGGGGGAUGGGUUUCUCUCAGAGGCAGCAGAGAGUGCAAGGGGGGCUCCAGGCUGAGUGGAGCCACCUCCUGCCCACAGUUCCUAAUGCUAUUUGAUUGGCUCAUUAGCAAGUAUGAAACACGGGGAGUCAAAAAAAAAGAAUAAAGAAAAAAACCCCAACUCUGGAAAGAAUAAACUAACAGAUGGAGACUUAAUUCAAUUUGCAUCCAACCUACCCUAGCACCAAGGACUUUGUUUGCUU
RNAcentral lists this long non-coding RNA (971 nucleotides) under Macaca mulatta (Rhesus monkey). RNAcentral describes it as "lncRNA (ENSMMUG00000065148.1)". Lineage: Eukaryota; Metazoa; Chordata; Mammalia; Primates; Cercopithecidae. The record is from RNAcentral.